Long non-coding RNA from Anas platyrhynchos (mallard), 1170 nucleotides. RefSeq lists it as uncharacterized. The record is from RefSeq and is a predicted model, not a curated record. NCBI's taxonomy places the organism in Eukaryota, Metazoa, Chordata, Aves, Anseriformes, Anatidae.
CAUUAAGGAAGCCACUGGGGAGUAAGAAAAUAUAUAUGUGUAGGCAUGUAUACCGUAGCUAAACAGGUGUGUAAUAGUUGCAUAACAUGCCAACGAGUGGUCCCUUAUGGGUCCCUUCCAACUCGGGGUAUUCUAUGAAAUUAGUGGCUUUUGUAGGAAUUCAACUUGGUAAGAACAUAGGUAUUUUUAUUCUAGAAGGAGCCCCAUUUGCAGAAAUGUAUUGAAUGUUCAACUGUUUUUUAAGUCCUUCGUUUAUAUUGUCAUUAACUAUUAGUCUAAAAUAAGCUGCAGUGGGUAAUGUCAUAUGUCUGAGUCUAAUACUGUUUGGAAAAGUGAAUGCUCUAAUAUGUGAAAAACCUAAUAGAUCCUUCUAUGUGUUUUUGACAGAUUGGUAAAAUGAGGUAUGUCAGUGUUCGUGACUUUAAAGGGAAAGUCUUAAUUGAUAUUAGAGAGUACUGGAUGGAUCAAGAAGGUGAAAUGAAGCCGGGCAGAAAAGGUAUUUCUUUAAAUCCAGAACAGUGGAACCAGCUGAAGGAACAGAUUUCUGAUAUUGACGAUGCAGUAAGAAAACUUUAAAGAUAGCCAUACAGAAAUCUUUAUCAUUUCAGUUGUUUUAAGCAGUCUUUUUACAUUGGAUUUUGUUUUCUAAAAUAGUGUUUUCAAAGCUAUUGUAUAUUUGGUUUGUAAAACAAUUUGUAAGAUGAAUACUUUUUUUUUUUUUUUAUGUGCAUUUAAAGUGUAUUCUGAGUGAGGCUAUUUGUGUAUACUUUACUAAAAGGAAAUGUGUUGCUUUUACCUCAUGGUGUAAAAUAAAUCAAGUAAUGGUUAAAACAUAGCUGUUAUGGCCUUUUGAUUGAAGAUGUUUGCUGGUAAGGCCACCUAUUGGCUUUAGGCUUUGUUUCAGUUCAGUUGUUUGUUUUCUAAGGAGAAUUUUAAAACAUCUUUAUUUAAAUAGUUUUUCUUUCAUACGCUUUGGUAUCGUCCUCAACUUUCUGCAUUAAAACUUGAUACAAACAGUGAAUACCUGGUAAAACACAUAUUUGUAAAUAAUUUUAAAUACUGUAUUUGCUAAUUUUCCCUAUUUAUUCAUAUGUAAACAGUCCUGAGUAUAUAGACUUUUUUGCGUUAUUUGCCUAGAGUGAUAUAUUAAACAGUAACACUUGAACACCA